Molecule: transfer RNA, 76 nt
Filed under: Candidatus Brocadia pituitae
Lineage: Bacteria; Pseudomonadati; Planctomycetota; Candidatus Brocadiia; Candidatus Brocadiales; Candidatus Brocadiaceae
Description: tRNA-Ala
Rfam family: tRNA
About the family: Transfer RNA (tRNA) molecules are approximately 80 nucleotides in length. Their secondary structure includes four short double-helical elements and three loops (D, anti-codon, and T loops).
Source: RNAcentral
GGGGAUGUAGCUCAAUUGGGAGAGCGCUGCCCUUGCAAGGCAGAGGCUGGCGGUUCGACCCCGCUCAUCUCCACCA